RNAcentral lists this ribosomal RNA (499 nucleotides) under uncultured bacterium. Its description in RNAcentral is "bacterial SSU rRNA". It matches the Rfam family "Bacterial small subunit ribosomal RNA", at positions 28 to 513 of the family's 1533-position model. The record is from RNAcentral.
GACGAACGCUGGCGGCGUGGAUUAGGCAUGCAAGUCGAACGGUAGGAUACCUUCGGGUAUCUGAGAGUGGCGAACGGGUGAGUAACACGUAGGUGAUCUACCCUCAAGAUUGGGACAACCCAGGGAAACUUGGGCUAAUACCGGAUGAAAGCAGCAGUGAUGUUGUUUGAAAGGUGGCGUAAGCUGCCGUUUGGGGAUGAGCCUGCGCUCUAUUAGUUAGUUGGCGGGGUAAAAGGCCCACCAAGGCGAUGAUAGAUAGGCGGCCUUAACGGGUGGUCGCCCACACUGGGAUUGAGAUACGGCCCAGACUCCUACGGGAGGCAGCAGUCGAGAAUAGUCUACAAUGGCCGAAAGGCUGAUAGUGCGACGCCGCGUGAACGAAGAAGCCCUUCGGGUGUAAAGUCUUUUAUAUGUGAGCAGUGCUUCUAUGUGAACAAGCAUGGGGAGAGAGAUAUUAAGCAUAAUGAAUAAAGACAACGGCUAAACUCCGUGGCCAGCC